GAGGGUAUAGCUCAGUGAAAGAGUGCGUGCUUAGCAUGCACAGGGUCUUGGGUUCAAUCCCCGGUACCUCUG
Molecule: transfer RNA, 72 nt
Filed under: Camelus ferus (Wild Bactrian camel)
Lineage: Eukaryota; Metazoa; Chordata; Mammalia; Artiodactyla; Camelidae
Rfam family: tRNA
About the family: Transfer RNA (tRNA) molecules are approximately 80 nucleotides in length.
Source: Rfam by way of RNAcentral